GAUUUAAGAAGAGCUAAAUAAAUAUUGAUCAUAGAUAAAUUUUUUUAAAUAUUGCAUUUAUUUGAAAUAAAUGUUUAUUUAGGGGUGAAAUGCCUACAAUUCUUAGGAUAGCUGGAUUUAACUUAAAUGCAUUAAGUGCAGAAUAAAUUUUUGAACUUCAAAGUGUUAAGAAUUUGAAGAAAUUUUAAAUUAAAUGAGUUCUUUUAUAAGAAUUAAUUUUUCUUAAUAAUUUUAGAUAAAAAAAUUAAUUUUUAACGUAUUAAAAAACAUAAAUUAAAAAAUUUUUAAUUACAAAUUAUUUAUAUAAUGUUAAAAUAAGUAUUUAUAUUAAUUCUUCUUAAGGAACUCGGCAAACUUCUUUCUCGACUGUUUAACAAAAACAUAGCUUUAUGGUAUAUAUAUAAAGUUUUUCCUGCCCACUGAAUUUUUUUAACGGCCGCAGUACCCUGACUGUGCUAAGGUAGCAUAAUAAAUUGGCUUUUAAAUGGAGUCUAGAAUCAACGGAUAAACGGAGAAUAGCUGUCUUAAGAUGCUUUUUUAAAAAUUAAUUUAAAAGGUGAAAAUGCCUUUAUAUUUAUAUAGACAAGAAGACCCUUAGAAUUUUUAGAAAUAUUUUAUACCUAUCUUUUUGUUGGGGCGACAAGGUAACAGUUAACUUACCUGAAAAGUUUUUGACAUAUCAGUUAUAUUAGUCAAGAAUAAAUUACCUGAGGGAUAACAGCAUAAUAAUCUUUUUGUUUGUGACCUCGAUGUUGGAUUAGGAUGUUAUUUAACUAGCCGUUUUAUAAUAUUGUUCUGUUCGAACUUACCCUCCUACAUGAUCUGAGUUCAGACCGGCGUAAGCCAGGUCAG
This 852-nucleotide ribosomal RNA is filed under the name Natalina quekettiana. Its description in RNAcentral is "partial 16S ribosomal RNA". The stretch from base 360 to 516 matches the Rfam family "Archaeal large subunit ribosomal RNA", at positions 1885 to 2088 of the family's 2987-position model. Lineage: Eukaryota; Metazoa; Mollusca; Gastropoda; Stylommatophora; Rhytididae. The record is from RNAcentral.